Eucalyptus grandis is the source of this 209-nucleotide long non-coding RNA. RefSeq lists it as uncharacterized. NCBI's taxonomy places the organism in Eukaryota, Viridiplantae, Streptophyta, Magnoliopsida, Myrtales, Myrtaceae. The transcript has 2 exons. The record is from RefSeq and is a predicted model, not a curated record.
GUCGAGGAUCGCGAUUCCUUGGACGAGGCUAAGCGGAGCUCUCCUGAUUACCGAGUGACAGGUUUUGCUAGUUUGCAACUGUGAUAUGCUUUUUUAAUAUGGCGACAAGAAGAAUGAGGGCAACAACUUCUAAAUCAAGUGGUGUAACUCCUAAUGAGGUCGAAUCAGAGUUAACCUGCUAUUGUGGUCUUCGAUCACCACUUCUUAUU